RNAcentral lists this ribosomal RNA (921 nucleotides) under uncultured Methanosarcina sp. RNAcentral describes it as "bacterial SSU rRNA". It matches the Rfam family "Archaeal small subunit ribosomal RNA", at positions 1 to 922 of the family's 1478-position model. The record is from RNAcentral. Lineage: Archaea; Methanobacteriati; Methanobacteriota; Methanomicrobia; Methanosarcinales; Methanosarcinaceae.
UUCCGGUUGAUCCCGCCGGAGGUUACUGCUAUCGGUGUUCGCCUAAGCCAUGCGAGUCAUAUGUUCUUCGUGAACAUGGCGUACUGCUCAGUAACACGUGGAUAACCUGCCCUUGGGACCGGGAUAACCCCGGGAAACUGGGGAUAAUACCGGAUAACGCAUAUCUGCUGGAAUGCUUUAUGCGUAAAAUGGAUUUGUCUGCCCAAGGAUGGGUCUGCGGCCUAUCAGGUAGUAGUGGGUGUAAUGUACCUACUAGCCUACGACGGGUACGGGUUGUGAGAGCAAGAGCCCGGAGAUGGAUUCUGAGACAUGAAUCCAGGCCCUACGGGGCGCAGCAGGCGCGAAUACUUUACAAUGCGGGAAACCGUGAUAAGGGGACACCGAGUGCCAGCAUCAUAUGUUGGCUGUCCAGAUGUGUAAAAUACAUCUGUUAGCAAGGGCCGGGCAAGACCGGUGCCAGCCGCCGCGGUAACACCGGCGGCCCGAGUGGUGAUCGUGAUUAUUGGGUCUAAAGGGUCCGUAGCCGGUUUGGUCAGUCCUCCGGGAAAUCUGACGGCUCAACCGUUAGGCUUUCGGUGGAUACUGCCAGACUUGGAACCGGGAGAGGUAAGAGGUACUACAGGGGUAGGAGUGAAAUCUUGUAAUCCCUGUGAGACCACCUGUGGCGAAGGCGUCUUACCAGAACGGGUUCGACGGUGAGGGACGAAAGCUGGGGGCACGAACCGGAUUAGAUACCCGGGUAGUCCCAGCCGUAAACGAUGCUCGCUAGGUGUCAGGCAUGGCGCGACCGUGUCUGGUGCCGCAGGGAAGCCGUGAAGCGAGCCACCUGGGAAGUACGGCCGCAAGGCUGAAACUUAAAGGAAUUGGCGGGGGAGCACAACAACGGGUGGAGCCUGCGGUUUAAUUGGAUUCAACGCCGGG